This 799-nucleotide ribosomal RNA is filed under the name uncultured Glomus. RNAcentral describes it as "SSU rRNA". It matches the Rfam family "Eukaryotic small subunit ribosomal RNA", at positions 314 to 1114 of the family's 1831-position model. The record is from RNAcentral. Lineage: Eukaryota; Fungi; Glomeromycota; Glomeromycetes; Glomerales; Glomeraceae.
AUCAACUUUCGAUUGGUAGGAUAGAGGCCUACCAUGGUGGUAACGGGUAACGGGGUGUUAGGGCACGACACCGGAGAGGGAGCCUGAGAAACGGCUACCACAUCCAAGGAUGGCAACAGGCGCGCAAAUUACCCAAUCCCGACACGGGGAGGUAGUGACAAUAAAUAACAAUACGGGGUUCCUUCGGAUCUCGUAAUUGGAAUGAGUACAAUUUAAAUCUCUUAACGAGGAACAAUUGGAGGGCAAGUCUGGUGCCAGCAGCCGCGGUAAUUCCAGCUCCAAUAGCGUAUAUUAAAGUUGUUGCAGUUAAAAAGCUCGUAGUUGAAUUUCGGGAUCAAUAUGUUGGUCGUGCCUUGGUACGUACUGGCGUCAUUGGUUUCUACCUUCUGAAGAACCUCGAUGUCAUUAAUUUGGUGUCUUGGGGAAUCAUGACUGUUACUUUGAAAAAAUUAGAGUGUUUAAAGCAGGCUCACGCUUGAAUACAUUAGCAUGGAAUAAUGAAAUAGGACGUUUGAUUCUAUUUUGUUGGUUUCUAGGAUCGACGUAAUGAUUAAUAGGGAUAGUUGGGGGCAUUAGUAUUCAAUUGUCAGAGGUGAAAUUCUUGGAUUUAUUGAAGACUAACUACUGCGAAAGCAUUUGCCAAGGAUGUUUUCAUUAAUCAAGAACGAAAGUUAGGGGAUCGAAGACGAUCAGAUACCGUCGUAGUCUUAACCAUAAACUAUGCCGACUAGGGAUCGGAUGAUGUUAAUUUUUUAAUGACUCGUUCGGCGCCUUACGGGAAACCAAAGUGUUUGGGUUC